CUCAGAGCAGUCAUGGAGAAUCCGAAGCAUUCUGUGUUCUGUAGAGCUCCUCUGGCAAACAAAACGAAGUGCCAAACAGUGCUUGCUGCAGGGUAUUUUUAGAGCCAUAACUGAGAGCUUGUUAGCUAAGACCAAUUGGGCUUUCCUCGCCAAAAAAGGAAGUGUUAUUCCAUUACUAGCGUCAUGGAGCUACCUCUGCACAUCAGACUUCAGGCCAUGAACAAACUUGAAAUGUCUAAAAGGAGCCCAGAUGUCAGAAGAGGUGUCUUCUGGGAGCCACUGGGCGGUUGACAAGGCUCCAGGAAGAGCUCUGGUUCAUGCUGCUAACAGCCAAGGAAGGAUGGGCCCUUCAGCUUCCCUCUUUCAGUUUGAAAUAUCCCAUGUCCCUGGAAGGCUUAGCUCCUUUUUGAAUUGUGAAGGAGAAGUGGAAUUGGGUUUUUCCAGUUUAGCUUUGUAGUGUAUGAGAGGAGAGUUUAAAAGAUUCUGGGUUGCGUUGGACCCUUGUUUUGCUUUAAGAGAUUCCUAAGCAUGAGUGUCCUCUGCAUGUAUUUCACUCCCUACCUGCAACUGCUCACUUAUAAUGUCUUCCUCAGCACCCCUACCCCCCAAACAGGCUCCAUGGCCUGUGGAAAGAAAAGACAGUGUCUGACACAGGAUGGCAGAACAGGCUAACACGCCCAAACUGUGGGUGGGGAAGAGGAACCUUACUUUCUGCCAACCUCAGUAAGAACGCAUGAGCUGGCAGGAUCUUCAGGUCUGCACCAUCCUUUUCAUACAUAUAUUCCUUUAAAUGCAGCACACUGAUUAUGUACAGUCAUCUUGAUGGCUGGAAGGAAAAGAAGGAUGUUUUGCUGUUUUGGCCAAUAUUUUCAGAAUGUAUAAGGUGUAUUGAUCUAGCAGUUAUUUAAGUAUUUAAUGGAAUAGACUUGAGCCUUUAAUUUCUUUGCAAUAUAGGUGAUAGUUGGAGUUAAGUAAUCAUUACUUAAAGCUGUUUGGCAAUAAAAUGAGAAGCUUUAUUUCUGAGGUUGGAGACCAAAUGCUCUCUUUCCUUUUUAGGAAACACUAUUAAGAUGUUCAUAGAAUAUGGCAUUGAAGCAAGCAGUUUGCAUGGAUGUUUUGGAUUGGAGCACAAUAUUUAGGCAUUUUUCCUAUUCUCUGAUAAUGUCUCCUCACUCUUGUGUUGAAUUUUCUCUUUGCACGUUUGAAAUGUUUUACAGGAAUACAUUAGGACUUUUUUUCUGCUGAGAACUUCCAGGGGACUGCCGUUCUACCAGAGUGUGUCUCUUCUCCCCGAGGGACAAUGAAACAGCUGGCCAUGUCCCUAGCGGAAGCCCAUACUUUGUCCAAGUGCAAGGCCAUCGGCCCUUCCUGGCACCAUUAGGGAGGAGCAUAAAUGUGCUCCUACCAGAGGGCACUUUUUUUAUUUUGAUGCAGUAAAGAAAGUAAACACAAAGCACCAAGGAGAGUAAAUUUUGCUGGAACAGCCUGGAAAUUUUGCAUGAGAUGCAAACAAGUACCUUGGAGUAUUCUGUUAUUCUUGGAAAGUUCAAAUAUACAGGGACAAGAAGCUUGCUACUACAUAGAAAGGCUCUAAGCAGGGUUUUUGUCCAGAAAAUCAUCUACUAAGUGAUCAGCAACUGUUCUGGAGGAAAGAAAAACAUUUUAGAGUUUCUAAAAUCUCUUUUUAAAGGUUUUAUGCAAGUGUUCAUUAAAAAAUGUGUGAUCAACCAGGUGUGGUGGUACAUGCCUGUAAUCCCAGCUACCUGGGAAGCUGAGGCAAGAGAAUCAUAAGUUUAAGGCUAACCUGGGCAAUUUAGACCCUGUAUUAAAAUAAAAAAUUAAAGGGUUGGGGAUUUAGCUCAGUGACAGAGUGCUCCUGGAUUCAAUCCCCAGUACUAGAGGGGAAAAAAAGAAAAAAGGGAAAUAUGGAAAUAUCUUAAAGGACAGUUUUACCUUAGUCCUCUAUUGAAAAAUUUCCCCCACAUUUCAGAGCUCAGGAUCCUGAGACUCUUAUUUGCCAAAAAAAUAAGCAAACAAGCAAUAAAACGUUUUUAAGGGUUGAGGGAUAUAGCCCAGUGAUAGAGUGCUUUGCUAGCAUGUGCCAGGCCCUGGGUUUGAUGCUCAGCACUGCAAAACAAAACCAAAAACCAAACACAACCACCACCAAAACAAACAAACAAACAAAACAAACAAACCUUAAAGAUAGCAGGAAAAGGAGGUAGUGUUGAGUGUGGUUCACCUGUUUUCUGCGAGUCUGGCGUAGUGUCAAGAUUAAGACGGUGUAGUUCAAGUUAAUAUCAUGGGUGUCCUACAACACCAGACAUAACUUUUAAUAGUUCAUGGUAAGGAGCACACUGAAUCUAUAGUUCUUGAUUGCUUUAUAUGACAUUAAUUUAACACUGAUAAACAUUAACUUUUUGUAAAGGAGUGACUUUGUUCUGCAGUGUUUGUGUUAGGAAUCUAGCUUUUAUAAUGUUAACUUUUCAACGUAUGAUACCUUUCCUAUUUUUUGUGUGUGUUUUCUUUCCCUGGGAGUGGGCGCGGGUAAGAUUUCAGAAGUGGAAUGUAACAUGUUAGAGGUGUGCACAAAACUAUUUUGCAUGGUUUUUGUUCAUUUGGUAUUUUUUUGUUUUUGUUUUUUGGCCCGUGUGAAUUCUACUUUUUAGUAAAAUAAAACUCAAAAAAGGAUGUGCAAAUAACAUAUUUUUCUGUGUAUAGUUUUUUCAUGUGACACCAAAAGUAGUUUACUUCUAGAUGGCCAUAAAUAACAGUCUGAGACAAAACUAAGCUUCCUAAGAACAAGAAAUAUAGUUCACUUCUUCUAUUGCUCAAUAGAAGUUUAAUCAUCUUAUUUUAACAGAAAGAUUUAUAUGUAAUACAAACAUCUUGCAUAAAGGAAUUUACCAGGUAUAUAGUAAGCUAAAGACUAAGCCUUGCUUUGUAUUUUCACCAAGGUUUGUUUAGUUACUUGGUAGCCAAAUAUUUCAAAUUCAUUUAUUUUUUAUUCUGCUCUAAAUGUCUUUAUAGCUAGAAAUGUUGCUAUAUUUCGUCCCAUUUUGUUUGUCUUCAAAUAAAGUCAGAGUAAAAUCCUCAUAACAUUAAAAAAAAUAAUGAAAACCCUUCUGAAGUACCAUGCUUAACAAAACCAAUUCAUUCUUUUUUAAGAUACUCUUUCUUAAGCAUUUCAUAAGACUACAUCACAUACUACCAGAGAAAUGAAAAGUUGUGCUGCAGUUGUGUACAAUCACUCAAAAUGCAUUCUGCUGUCAUACAUA
This 3275-nucleotide long non-coding RNA is filed under the name Marmota monax (woodchuck). The record is from RNAcentral. Lineage: Eukaryota; Metazoa; Chordata; Mammalia; Rodentia; Sciuridae.